GGCAAAGGACGAGGUCGCGGUCGAGGUGGCGCCAGGGUUGUCCAGUGCCAGAUCUGCUCCAGCGAAGGCCACUUGGCCGCUUCGUGCUAUCGCCGGUAUGAUGGCGCUCCGGGGCCGCGGGCGCAUGUUGCGUAUUCCGUUGAUGAUGCGGCUUCGGUAAAUCCUCAGCAGUGGUUUCCUGACACUGGUGCGUCAAAUCAUGCCACUCCGGAUCCAUCCUUGAUGUCCUCGGCGGUUUCCUAUAAUGGUCCGGAUCAUCUCCGUGUUGGUGACGGAUCGUUCAACCAGGGAAGUUCUGUAUAGAGGACCGGCUUCGGGGGGUUUCUAUUCUUGGCCUGUCUCUCGUUCAAGUCCCGCUGCGUUUGUGGCCUCUCGUGUCUCCUCUGAGGUGUGGCAUGCUCGGUUGGGUCACCCUCAUCCGCGUGUCUUACGACAGAUAUUAAAUUCGUGUUCUAUUCAGUCUAGUUUUAGUGAUAGUUCGGUGUUGUGUCGUGCUUGUAUGCUUGGGAAAUCCUCUCGGUUUCCCUUGCCCCGUGUCAAUACUACUACGUCGCAUGUUUUAGAGCUUAUAUAUACCGAUAUUUGGGGGCCAGCGCCUUUUCUUUCUGUCAAUGGUUUUCGUUAUUUUGUUUUGUUUGUUGAUGACUA
This is a long non-coding RNA of Ipomoea nil (Japanese morning glory), 648 nucleotides long. RefSeq lists it as uncharacterized. Lineage: Eukaryota; Viridiplantae; Streptophyta; Magnoliopsida; Solanales; Convolvulaceae. The record is from RefSeq and is a predicted model, not a curated record. The transcript is spliced from 2 exons.